Molecule: long non-coding RNA, 466 nt
Organism: Coregonus clupeaformis (lake whitefish)
Lineage: Eukaryota; Metazoa; Chordata; Actinopteri; Salmoniformes; Salmonidae
Exons: 2
Source: RefSeq, a predicted model, not a curated record
UUAUCCGUCAAUAUCUCUUUCUUUCUGCUGACCCGUUGCCAAGGACAGCCGGUCUCCACCGACCAGACCACCGGACCGGUUUACCCCAGGCCAGGGGCAUUAGUCAAGAGUAAGCAAUAUGGAAAAACCCACGGGAGACGUAAAAUAUUUGGCAACAGGUCACUCAGUCUCUAGAGCCAACAAUGGCCGACACAGGUCAUCAAGAUGCUUGAAGCAGUCACGACACAACAUACACACUCAAUCACCCUUAGGAGCAGUAGAGAACUGGGGUAAAGAGCAAGAGGAAGACACACCAACGAGAUGGACAGACACCUGAAGAGACGAAAGGGAGGAAACGAUGAGGGGAGGCUGUAUAUCCCACUAGGCACCAACUGGUUGUUUCCAAUACAACAAAAUAAAUUUGAUGACGUUGAAUCAAUGUGGAAAACGUAUUGGAUUUGCAAUAAAAGUCUUCACUGUAAAGGGA